AAUUCCCCUGUUGCUCUUUGUUUUGAGGCACAGAUGCAUCUGAAGUCACAGAGCCACUUACAAUUGAAGAUCGAGCCAGCGGCUCUUAUGUGAAUGGAGAAACUAUCAGUUGCUUUGAAUCAGAACAGUCCCACUCAACUCAAUUGUUUCCUGGACCUUGUGAUACUCUGUCUUCAUAACACAGACAUGUGAUGCUGAUGGAGGUCUGGGUGAAGGUCUGGCUCCAGGUCAACAU
Molecule: long non-coding RNA, 235 nt
Organism: Osmerus eperlanus (European smelt)
Lineage: Eukaryota; Metazoa; Chordata; Actinopteri; Osmeriformes; Osmeridae
Exons: 3
Source: RefSeq, a predicted model, not a curated record